CCUACGGGCGGCUGCAGUGGGGGAUAUUGCACAAUGGGGGAAACCCUGAUGCAGCGACGCCGCGUGUGGGAAGACGGUCCUCUGGAUUGUAAACCACUGUCCCCAGGGACGAAGAUGACGGUACCUGGGGCGGAAGCUCCGGCUAACUACGUGCCAGCAGCCGCGGUGAUACGUAGGGGGCAAGCGUUAUACGGAUUUACUGGGUGUAAAGGGAGCGUUGACGGCAGCGCAAGUCUGGAGUGAAAUCCCAGGGCUUAAACAUGGAACUGCUUUGGAAACUGUGCAGCUAGAGUGCAGGAGAGGUAAGCGGAAUUCCUAGUGUAGCGGUGAAAUGCGUAGAUAGUAGGAGGAACACCAGGGGCGAAGGCGGCUUACUGGACUGUAACUGACGUUGAGGCUCGAAAGCGUGGGGAGCAAACAGGAUUAGAUACCCCUGUAGUC
RNAcentral lists this ribosomal RNA (441 nucleotides) under uncultured bacterium. Its description in RNAcentral is "partial 16S ribosomal RNA". It matches the Rfam family "Bacterial small subunit ribosomal RNA", at positions 338 to 795 of the family's 1533-position model. The record is from RNAcentral.